AGAGUUUGAUCCUGGCUCAGAACGAACGCUGGCGGCAGGCCUAACACAUGCAAGUCGAGCGCACCCUUCGGGGCGAGCGGCGGACGGGUUAGUAACGCGUGGGAACAUACCCUUUGGUACGGAAUAGCCUCUGGAAACGGAGAGUAAUACCGUAUGUGCCCUUCGGGGGAAAGAUUUAUCGCCAAAGGAUUGGCCCGCGUUAGAUUAGAUAGUUGGUGGGGUAAUGGCCUACCAAGUCUACGAUCUAUAGCUGGUUUUAGAGGAUGAUCAGCAACACUGGGACUGAGACACGGCCCAGACUCCUACGGGAGGCAGCAGUGGGGAAUCUUAGACAAUGGGCGCAAGCCUGAUCUAGCCAUGCCGCGUGUGUGAUGAAGGCCUUAGGGUCGUAAAGCACUUUCGCCAGGGAUGAUAAUGACAGUACCUGGUAAAGAAACCCCGGCUAACUCCGUGCCAGCAGCCGCGGUAAUACGGAGGGGGUUAGCGUUGUUCGGAAUUACUGGGCGUAAAGCGUACGUAGGCGGAUCAGAAAGUUGGGGGUGAAAUCCCAGGGCUCAACCCUGGAACUGCCUCCAAAACUCCUGGUCUUGAGUACGAGAGAGGUGAGUGGAAUUCCGAGUGUAGAGGUGAAAUUCGUAGAUAUUCGGAGGAACACCAGUGGCGAAGGCGGCUCACUGGCUCGAUACUGACGCUGAGGUACGAAAGUGUGGGGAGCAAACAGGAUUAGAUACCCUGGUAGUCCACACCGUAAACGAUGAAUGCCAGUCGUCGGGCAGUAUACUGUUCGGUGACACACCUAACGGAUUAAGCAUUCCGCCUGGGGAGUACGGUCGCAAGAUUAAACUCAAAGGAAUUGACGGGGGCCCGCACAAGCGGUGGAGCAUGUGGUUUAAUUCGAAGCAACGCGCAGAACCUUACCAACCCUUGACAUCCUGUGCUAACCCGAGAGAUCGGGCGUUCACUUCGGUGACGCAGUGACUGUGCUGCAUGGCUGUCGUCAGCUCGUGUCGCGAGAUGUUCGGUUAAGUCCGGCAACGAGCGCAACCCACAUCUUUAGUUGCCAUCAUUUAGUUGGGCACUCUAAAGAAACUGCCCGUGAUAAGCGGGAGGAAGGUGUGGAUGACGUCAAGUCCUCAUGGCCCUUACGGGUUGGGCUACACACGUGCUACAAUGGCAGUGACAAUGGGUUAAUCCCAAAAAGCUGUCUCAGUUCGGAUUGGGGUCUGCAACUCGACCCCAUGAAGUCGGAAUCGCUAGUAAUCGCGUAACAGCAUGACGCGGUGAAUACGUUCCCGGGCCUUGUACACACCGCCCGUCACACCAUGGGAGUUGGUUCUACCCGACGGCCGUGCGCCAACCCGCAAGGGAGGCAGCGGACCACGGUAGGAUCAGCGACUGGGGUGAAGUCGUAACAAGGUA
Molecule: ribosomal RNA, 1419 nt
Filed under: metagenome
Description: bacterial SSU rRNA
Rfam family: Bacterial small subunit ribosomal RNA
Source: RNAcentral